AUUUAAAUAGUUUAAUAAAAAUUAAAGUUUGUGGAACUUUAGAUGUAGGUUGUUACUUUAAAUA
This 64-nucleotide transfer RNA is filed under the name Hydrophilidae sp. BMNH 1274338. RNAcentral's name for it is "tRNA-His". Lineage: Eukaryota; Metazoa; Arthropoda; Insecta; Coleoptera; Hydrophilidae. The record is from RNAcentral.